RNAcentral lists this ribosomal RNA (429 nucleotides) under Gemmatimonadota bacterium. RNAcentral describes it as "Gemmatimonadetes bacterium partial 16S ribosomal RNA". It matches the Rfam family "Bacterial small subunit ribosomal RNA", at positions 355 to 776 of the family's 1533-position model. The record is from RNAcentral. Lineage: Bacteria; Pseudomonadati; Gemmatimonadota.
UAGGGAAUCUUCGGCAAUGGACGAAAGUCUGACCGAGCAACGCCGCGUGAGUGAAGAAGGUUUUCGGAUCGUAAAACUCUGUUGUUAGAGAAGAACAAGGACGUUAGUAACUGAACGUCCCCUGACGGUAUCUAACCAGAAAGCCACGGCUAACUACGUGCCAGCAGCCGCGGUAAUACGUAGGUGGCAAGCGUUGUCCGGAUUUAUUGGGCGUAAAGCGAGCGCAGGCGGUUUCUUAAGUCUGAUGUGAAAGCCCCCGGCUCAACCGGGGAGGGUCAUUGGAAACUGGGAGACUUGAGUGCAGAAGAGGAGAGUGGAAUUCCAUGUGUAGCGGUGAAAUGCGUAGAUAUAGGGAGGAACACCAGUGGCGAAGGCGGCUCUCUGGUCUGUAACUGACGCUGAGGCUGGAAAGCGUGGGGAGCAAACAGG